RNAcentral lists this ribosomal RNA (253 nucleotides) under uncultured bacterium. RNAcentral's name for it is "partial 16S ribosomal RNA". It matches the Rfam family "Bacterial small subunit ribosomal RNA", at positions 524 to 776 of the family's 1533-position model. The record is from RNAcentral.
UACAGAGGUCCCAAGCGUUGUUCGGAUUCACUGGGCGUAAAGGGUGCGUAGGUGGUGAGGUAAGUCGGAUGUGAAAGCUCGGAGCUCAACUCCGAAAUGGCAUUGGAAACUACCUUGCUCGAGGGUUGGAGGGGGGACUGGAAUUCCCGGUGUAGCGGUGAAAUGUGUAGAGAUCGGGAGGAACACCGGUGGCGAAGGCGGGUCUCUGGGCAAUUCCUGACGCUGAGGCGCGAAAGCGUGGGGAGCAAACGGG